UGGGUUGUGGCUCAGUGGUAGAGUGCUCGCUUAGCAUGCAUGAGGCACUGGGUUCAAUCCUCAGCACCACAU
Molecule: transfer RNA, 72 nt
Filed under: Ictidomys tridecemlineatus (thirteen-lined ground squirrel)
Lineage: Eukaryota; Metazoa; Chordata; Mammalia; Rodentia; Sciuridae
Description: Spermophilus tridecemlineatus (thirteen-lined ground squirrel) tRNA
Rfam family: tRNA
About the family: Transfer RNA (tRNA) molecules are approximately 80 nucleotides in length. Their secondary structure includes four short double-helical elements and three loops (D, anti-codon, and T loops). Further hydrogen bonds mediate the characteristic L-shaped molecular structure. tRNAs have two regions of fundamental functional importance: the anti-codon, which is responsible for specific mRNA codon recognition, and the 3' end, to which the tRNAs corresponding amino acid is attached (by aminoacyl-tRNA synthetases). tRNAs cope with the degeneracy of the genetic code in two manners: having more than one tRNA (with a specific anti-codon) for a particular amino acid; and 'wobble' base-pairing, i.e. permitting non-standard base-pairing at the 3rd anti-codon position.
Source: Rfam by way of RNAcentral